UGCCAGCAGCCGCCGGUAAUACGAAGGGUCCGAGCGUUAUCCGGAAUCAUUGGGUUUAAAGGGUCCGCAGGCGGUCAAUUAAGUCAGAGGUGAAAUCCCAUAGCUUAACUAUGGAACUGCCUUUGAUACUGGUUGACUUGAGUCAUAUGGAAGUAGAUAGAAUGUGUAGUGUAGCGGUGAAAUGCAUAGAUAUUACACAGAAUGCCAAUUGCGAAGGCAGAUUACUAACAAUUAACUGACGCUGAGGGACGAAAGCGUGGGUAGCGAAGAGGAUUAGAUA
RNAcentral lists this ribosomal RNA (280 nucleotides) under uncultured bacterium. Its description in RNAcentral is "partial 16S ribosomal RNA". It matches the Rfam family "Bacterial small subunit ribosomal RNA", at positions 506 to 784 of the family's 1533-position model. The record is from RNAcentral.